CGGGGUAUAGCGCAGCCCGGUUAGCGCGCCUGCUUUGGGAGCAGGAGGUCGUAGGUUCGAAUCCUACUACCCCGA
This 75-nucleotide transfer RNA is filed under the name Bacteroidota bacterium. Its description in RNAcentral is "Bacteroidetes bacterium (marine metagenome) tRNA-Pro". It matches the Rfam family "tRNA". From Rfam's summary of the family: Transfer RNA (tRNA) molecules are approximately 80 nucleotides in length. Their secondary structure includes four short double-helical elements and three loops (D, anti-codon, and T loops). Further hydrogen bonds mediate the characteristic L-shaped molecular structure. tRNAs have two regions of fundamental functional importance: the anti-codon, which is responsible for specific mRNA codon recognition, and the 3' end, to which the tRNAs corresponding amino acid is attached (by aminoacyl-tRNA synthetases). tRNAs cope with the degeneracy of the genetic code in two manners: having more than one tRNA (with a specific anti-codon) for a particular amino acid; and 'wobble' base-pairing, i.e. permitting non-standard base-pairing at the 3rd anti-codon position. RNAcentral also lists the same sequence under 1 other name. Lineage: Bacteria; Pseudomonadati; Bacteroidota. The record is from RNAcentral.